AACGAACGCUGGCGGCAUGCCUAACACAUGCAAGUCGAACGAGACCUUCGGGUCUAGUGGCGCACGGGUGCGUAACGCGUGGGAACCUGCCUUUAGGUUCGGAAUAACUCAGAGAAAUUUGAGCUAAUACCGGAUGAUGUCUUCGGACCAAAGAUUUAUCGCCUUUAGAUGGGCCCGCGUUGGAUUAGCUAGUUGGUGGGGUAAAGGCCUACCAAGGCGACGAUCCAUAGCUGGUCUGAGAGGAUGAUCAGCCACACUGGGACUGAGACACGGCCCAGACUCCUACGGGAGGCAGCAGUGGGGAAUAGUGGACAAUGGGCGAAAGCCUGAUCCAGCAAUGCCGCGUGAGUGAUGAAGGCCUUAGGGUUGUAAAGCUCUUUUACCCGAGAUGAUAAUGACAGUAUCGGGAGAAUAAGCUCCGGCUAACUCCGUG
This 433-nucleotide ribosomal RNA is filed under the name uncultured bacterium. RNAcentral describes it as "partial 16S ribosomal RNA". It matches the Rfam family "Bacterial small subunit ribosomal RNA", at positions 29 to 507 of the family's 1533-position model. The record is from RNAcentral.